GACGAACGCUGGCGGCGUGCUUAACACAUGCAAGUCGAACGGAAAGGCCCUGCUUUUGUGGGGUGCUCGAGUGGCGAACGGGUGAGUAACACGUGAGUAACCUGCCCUUGACUUUGGGAUAACUUCAGGAAACUGGGGCUAAUACCGGAUAGGAGCUCCUGCUGCAUGGUGGGGGUUGGAAAGUUUCGGCGGUUGGGGAUGGACUCGCGGCUUAUCAGCUUGUUGGUGGGGUAGUGGCUUACCAAGGCUUUGACGGGUAGCCGGCCUGAGAGGGUGACCGGCCACAUUGGGACUGAGAUACGGCCCAGACCCCUACGGGAGGCAGCAGUGGGGAAUAUUGCACAAUGGGCGGAAGCCUGAUGCAGCAACGCCUCGUGCGGGAUGACGGCCUUCGGGUUGUAAACCGCUUUCGCCUGUGACGAAGCGUGAGUGACGGUAAUGGGUAAAGAAGCGCCGGCUAACUACGUG
Molecule: ribosomal RNA, 468 nt
Filed under: uncultured bacterium
Lineage: Bacteria
Description: partial 16S ribosomal RNA
Rfam family: Bacterial small subunit ribosomal RNA
Source: RNAcentral